CGAGGUUGGGAAGCUGGACUGCUGUAGGAUGAAAACCGCCUGGGACUCAGGGCUUCUGCCGUGGGUUUGAAGAUGAUCAGAAGGGAAGUGACCCGGUCAUCAGAUACAGGGAGUGAGAUAAACACCAGAAUGUGGAGAAAACCGUGCAUGUUGAUAGGUUUUUUUUUUUUUUUCAUGUUGAUAGUUUUGUUAAAAAUAAUUUUAUGAAGUGACAAAAGUUAACAAUGUUAUCUCUGGGUACUUCCGUUUUGGAAGCUAUUUUUUAGCUUUUCACAUGACCAGGAGUAUAUGUUACCCAUACGGUGGAAAGGAGAAAAUCAUUAAAUGUGCAAGCAGAGUGGGGGAAGCAACCGAAGGGUGGUUUGCAGGCCUGCAAACCAUGAACACAGUCCAUGCCAAGUGGUGGCCGGGCGGCUGAGACCCUGUGAUAAGUACAGACUCAGUCACAGUGAGCACGGGGUCCAGACGGGGGCCCUGAGCCUCUCAUGUUCUUUGCAUCACUUCCUGUGUGUCACACCUGGUUUGGGGACCAUAGGUUAAAGAGCUGAAGCUGAGUUUGGUUGGUCAGAGGAGAAGUCAUUGGAAAGCACAUCAUAAAAGGAAGAUUUGUGACAUCCUGAGAUGUUUACCCUGAAGACGAAAGAGCAAAUGGGGUUCAAGGCCAUGUUCAAAUACUUGGUGAGCUUCCAUGGCAACAAGAUAAGCCCCUUCUCUACCAGAACUGACACCAACACUGGAACUCAGAGGAAGGCCACUUUUGGCCAGACACAGGAGAAACAGCAUUACAAUCACAAGAUUACCUCAAGGAGAGAGUGAGGUCAUACCCACAGCCUCAGUGUGGACAAAAGUGACUCAUUUUGAGGCCCAGUGGCUUGUCCCCACGACCCUUCAGCUGGUCAGUAGGAGGGCCAGGGCCAAACCACAUCUCAUGCCUCAAGACUACCACUCUCCUCCUCACCCCCAUCAAGGCCGCUUGGACCCACAGAUGCCCAGGAGGCAGAUCUGCUCCCUCAGAAGGUGGGCUCCCAGGCUGCUGGUGUGUCCACACACAGACUGAGUGACACCUGCCAGGGGCAUCUAUAGGGAACGUCUGUCAUAGAGGGAUGGACCAGCUGUGUCCACGCACAGGCUGGGUGACACCUGCUGGGGGUCUCCAGGGAACGUAUGUCACAGAGGGAAGACUCACUUCCUGUCAGGGGCACCCCCAGGGAACGUCUGUCACAGGCAGAUGGACCAGCUGUGCCCACGCACAGGCUGGGUGACACUGGCCAGGGGCACCCCCAGGGAACAUCUGUCACAGCGGGACAGACCAUGUGUGUCCAUGCACAGGCUGAGUGACCUCCUGCCAGGGGUGUCCCCAGGGAACGUCUCUGACAGCAGGACGGAUAACCUCUGAGGUGCUUCCCAGCCUGUGCUGCUCUGGUGGGAAUUCUGGAAGUAACUGGGAGGAGGGUGGCACUGAGGGUCUCUAACAAUCAUUAAAGAGAAGUCCAGAGGCUUAGGAACAGUGGUUGGUACACAAAGAGAGGGGAGUCAGCGUCCUAGGAGGCCGUUCCUCACCAGGCCCAUCACGGUUGUUAUUAGUCAGAUCACGCUGGUACCUGCCCCCCAACAUUUGCCAGGAGUGGGGGGGGGUGCGUUGGGUGGAGAGCAGACUGUCUUCUGCUUUGACCCCUACUCUGCCAACCAGAAAGCGUGACAUGUCCAUGGACAGGGCCGAGUGGUGGUCAUGGCGUGUGGUCACGGUGGAGCGCCACCUGGAAAUCACAGAUUAUCCAAACACUGCAGGCACUUCCAUUCACUUCGAAAGGAGCCAAGAAAAGACGUGCUCUCCCCUCCCCCCAGCCCCGGUCCCACCCUGAAGAAAAACCCACACACCCUUCAGUAAUUCAGCUUUUUCGUUUGGCUCACAAUCAUAGGAAAAGGGCUGAAUUGCUUAGCUCACCAGCAGCACAUCCAGACCCUGAAUCUCCACUUAAAAGACGGGACGGCCCAGGAUUUCCCUCAUUACCAGUGAAGUGUAGAUGACAAGUUCAUUAAUUAAAGCUCUUUUCUGGCUCCUGGUGUGUCUGUUCUCCAGGAAAGAGAUUAAGAUCUUGGUGCAGAGUCAGCUGGCCCCAAAGUCAUGUCCCUGAGCAUGUGACUAUGUUCAUCUCGGGCAGGUUGUUAAAGAGAUGCUACCGGAGACGACCGCAUCUUCACUCCGGUCACGCUGUGCCCUGAGCCACCCUUCUGACGCGAGGGUCCUUGGGUGAAGCACCUUGUGCAUCCCCGUCCUGCUUCCCCUGUCCCUGUUACAUGCAGCUGGUCCUGAUCUAGAGUUCCGGGGAGGCUGCUGGUUCCUGAAAUCCCUUCCCCUCCCUCCUCUGGCCAUCCCCUAGUGUCCACGAGGAGCACCUGGCACCGGUCAGCUGCCAUUCUGUGUUUCACACACUGACUCCUGUGCCUGUCCCUCUUGCCCUCAUCUUGUAGGUGACGGGAACCACUCACCCAGGGCAGCGCUGCUAAGUGCUGGGGGUGAAAUCCAAACAAGCUUUUCCGGACCACGCCCGUCACUGUAACAGAGGACCAGGAGGGGCUGCCUGUGCGGAGAGUGGGCUUCCUCCCUGUCACACUGGACACUGGUUCGAGGACAGGGUAUAAACCCCGUUCCAAAUGAGGAAAGGUUGUCAGACGGGAAAGUGAGGCUGGAAGUGAAGGAAACUCCGGGGAGCGUAGUGGAGAGACGGGCUGGGGGAGGCUCAGGGGACCCAAAGGCAGGCUGGAGAGGAAGGGGCUAGAUUCAGGCUGCACAGGGCUCAGAGAAGCUGGACGGGAGACUUGCCCAACACGUGGGCACCAGCGAUAAGGCUUGGAGUAAACAUUCUGAGGGGUAUUUUUGGAUCCAGAAAAAUAAGUACAAAAUGUUCCUCAGGCGAGUUCCUGCUAUGAUGCGGGGGUUAAGAACCUGGCAUUGCCACUCGGUGGUCUAGAUCUUCUGAUUCCUGGCCCGGGAAUUUCCGUAUGUCAUGGGGGUGGCCAAAAAUAAAAAUGUUCCUAAGGGCCAAGAUGUAGAGGGAGGCUUUUGUGGCCUAGAGGUGAUAUGUGUAGAAAAUAUAAUUUAUAUUAUAUAUCAUGUACAAUAUAGGUAAAUGAGCUCCAAAAAAACAAAAAAACAAAAAAAAAAAAAAA
This 3171-nucleotide long non-coding RNA is filed under the name Sus scrofa scrofa. RNAcentral's name for it is "partial MSTRG.59589". Lineage: Eukaryota; Metazoa; Chordata; Mammalia; Artiodactyla; Suidae. The record is from RNAcentral.